CAAUAGCGUAUAUUAAAAUUGUUGCAGUUAAAAAGCUCGUAGUUGGAUUUCUGGUGUGGUGCGCCUGGUCUCCACCCAAUUAAGGGUGUGUGUAUCGGAUGCGCGCCUACCAUUCCUUCCAGAAAGCGCCAUCUACCCUUCACUGGGACGGAUGGUGCGAUCUGGAUCAUUUACUUUGAAAAAAUUAGAGUGUUUAAAGCAGGCUUUUAUGCUGUGAAUACAUUAGCAUGGAAUAAUAAGAUAGGACUUUGGUUCUAUUUUGUUGGUUUCUAGGACUGAAGUAAUGAUUGAUAGGGAUAGUUGGGGGUGCUAGUAUUUAACGGCCAGAGGUGAAAUUCAUUGAUUCGUUAAAGACUAACUAAUGCGAAAGCAUUCACCAAGGAUGUCUUCUUUAA
This 395-nucleotide ribosomal RNA is filed under the name uncultured eukaryote. RNAcentral describes it as "partial 18S ribosomal RNA". It matches the Rfam family "Eukaryotic small subunit ribosomal RNA", at positions 592 to 976 of the family's 1831-position model. The record is from RNAcentral.